This 279-nucleotide ribosomal RNA is filed under the name uncultured Thermanaerovibrio sp. Its description in RNAcentral is "partial 16S ribosomal RNA". It matches the Rfam family "Bacterial small subunit ribosomal RNA", at positions 1106 to 1382 of the family's 1533-position model. Lineage: Bacteria; Thermotogati; Synergistota; Synergistia; Synergistales; Synergistaceae. The record is from RNAcentral.
UGCUGCCAGUUGCCAACGGGUAGAGCCGGGCACUCUGGCGGGACUGCCAUCGACAAGAUGGAGGAAGUGGGGAUGACGUCAAGUCAUCAUGGCCCUUAUGUCCAGGGCGACACACGUGCUACAAUGGCCGGCACAGCGGGAAGCGAGGCAGUGAUGCCAAGCGGAUCCCUUAAAGCCGGUACUCAGUUCGGAUUGAAGUCUGCAACUCGACUUCAUGAAGCUGGAAUCGCUAGUAAUCGCAGAUCAGCCAAGCUGCGGUGAAUACGGUUCCCGGGCCUU